CCCUGUUACUCAUAUCAGUCCUCAUCACUCACCUGUAUAUCAUCUGUGUUUUAAACUGUUUGUUCAGAUUUCUUCCACUGAUGGACAAUAUAGAGAGGAGAAAGAGAGAGAAGACAUUCCUACUGAAUCUGUGUCUUCAAGCAAUUCUCCAUGCUAGAGGAUCCAUACACACAAUUAUAGAUAAAGUGUUGUCACUGUCUGAAGUAUAUCACUAUCAGAAAUGGGAUUUCCUGCUGGAUCUGUACUCACAUGUGAAGGACUAUGAGACUCAAACAGGCAGGAGUGUACUUCCAGCAUUACAGCCAGUUUACCAGUCAGCUCCUGCAGUCUGGUCCAUAGACCUCUCAGAGAGAAAGGCCUCCCUCCUCCUAGAAAUGCUUAAAAUCCAACCAGAGAAGAAACCAGUAGUCCUGAAGGGCUGGUCAGAUGAAGAGAGUGAAGUGAGGAGUUUCCUUCAGUGUCUGCCCUACAUCUCACAGCUGAGUUUCUAUCCAUGGUGGCCUGUUCCCUCAAAGCAGAUCAAGUUCCUGGUGGAUCUCCUGUCUCAAGCAGCAGAGAGGGAGGAGCAGACAGGAGAGAAGACACUGAUGCUGGUGUCAUCAGUGUGUACUUACAGCGCUUUCCCCUUCUGUGACUGGCAUGAUGAGAAUAAGGAAGAUCAAUGUGAUUUCCUGCUGGAUCUGUUCUCACAUAUGAAGGAAUAUCAGACUCAAACAGACAGGAACGUCCUUCUAGCAUUACAGCCAGUUUACCAGUCGGCUCCUGCAGUCUGGUACAUAGACCUCUCAGCGAGAAAGGCCUCCCUCUUCCUAGAAGUGCUGAAACUCCAACCAGAGAAGAAACCAGUAGAGCUGAAGGGCUGUUCAGAUGAAGAGAGUGAAGUGAGGAGUUUCCUUCAGUGUCUGUCCUACAUCUCACAGCUGAGAUUUCCUCCACUGAAGGAUAAUGUAGAGAGGAGAAAGAGAGAGAAGACAUUCCUACUGAAUCUGUGUCUUCAAGCAGCUCUCCAUGAGAGAGGAACCAUACAAACAACUGUAGAUAAAGUGUUGUCACUGUCUGAAGUAUAUCACAAUCAGAAAUGGGAUUUCCUGCUGUAUCUGUACUCACAUGUGAAGGACUAUGAGACUCAAACAGGCAGGAGUGUCCUUCCAGCAUUACAGCCAGUUUACCAGUCAGCCAGUCCUGCAGUCUGGUCCAUAGACCUCUCAAAGAGAAAGGCCUCCCUCGUCCUAGAAGUGCUGAAACUCCAACCAGAGAAGAAACCAGUACAGCUGAUGGGCUGGUCAGAUGAAGAGAGUGAAGUGAGGAGUUUCCUUCAGUGUCUGCCCUAUAUCUCACAGCUGAGUGUUACUCCACCACAGGAACAGAGAAGAUCCCCUGAAGAGAGGAGAAAGAGAGAGAAGACAUUCCUACUGAAUCUGUGUCUUCAAGCAGCUCUCCAUGAGAGAGGAACCAUACAAACAACUGUAGAGAAGGUGUUGUCAUUGUCUGAAGUAUAUCACUAUCAGAAAUGUGAUUUCCUGCUGGAUCUGUACUCAUUUGUGAAGGACUAUGAGAUUCAAACAGGCAGGAGUGUCCUUCCAGCAUUACAGCCAGUUUACCAGUCAGCUCCUGCAGUCUGGUCCAUAGACCUCUCAGAGAGAAAGGCCUCCCUCCUCCUAGAAGUGCUGAAACUCCAACCAGAGAAGAAACCAGUAGAGCUGAAGGGCUGGUCAGAUGAAGAGAGUGAAGUGAGGAGUUUCCUUCAGUGUCUGUCCUACAUCUCACAGCUGAGUUUUACUCCUCCAUGGGAUCAGAGAAGAUGCCCUGAAGAGAGGACACAGAGAGAGAAGACAUUCCUACUGAAUCUGUGUCUUCAAGCAGCUCUCCAUGAGAGAGGAACCAUACAAACAACUGUAGAGAAAGUGUUGUCACUGUCUGAAGUAUAUCACAAUCAGAAAUGUGAUUUCCUGCUGGAUCUGUGCUCACAUGUGAAUGACUACGAGACUCAAACAGGCAGGAGUGUUCUUCCAGCAUUACAGCCAGUUUACCAGUCAGCCAGUCCUGCAGUCUGGUCCAUAGACCUCUCAGAGAGAAAGGCCUCCCUCUUCCGAGAAGUGCUGAAACUCCAACCAGAGAAGAAACCAGUAGAGCUGAAGGGCUGGUCAGAUGAAGAGAGUGAAGUGAGGAGUUUCCUUCAGUGUCUGCCCUACAUCUCACAGCUGAGUUUUACUCCACCACGGGAUCAGAGAAGAUCCCCUGAAGAGAGGAGAAAGAGAGAGAAGACAUUCCUACUGAAUCUGUGUCUUCAAGCAGCUCUCCAUGAGAGAGGAACCAUACAAACAAUUGUAGAGAAAGUGUUGUCACUGUCUAAAGUAUAUCACGAUCAGAAAUUUGAUUUCCUGCUAGAUCUGUACUCACAUGUGAAGGACUAUGAGACUCAAACAGGCAGGAGUGUCCUUCCAGCAUUACAGCCAGUUUACCUGUCAGCUCCUGCAGUCUGGUACAUAGACCUCUCAGAGAGAAAGGCCUCCCUCCUCCUAGAAGUGCUGAAACUCCAACCAGAGAAAAAACCAGUAGAGCUGAAGGGCUGGUCAGAUGAAGAGAGUGAAGUGAGGAGUUUCCUUCAGUGUCUGCCCUACAUCUCACAGCUGAGGCUGAAUGUGGGUAUGGCAGUGAAACUGUCCAGACUGGUUAGGAGGACAGAGAGAGAAGCUACUCCACUGACUGUCCCAGAACUCUCCCUGGUCCUAAAGAGCAGCCAGCCACCAGAGAGAGUGUUAUCCAGGGCUCUGAGUAGUGUGGCGUCCCUGCUGAGACUCUGGAGGUUUCAGUGUCUGGACCUGACUGACUUCCUGAUCCAGGGUCACUCUCUCAUCACACUGCUGUGUCACCAGGGACCUCUCUCUCUCAGACUGAACUCAGACACUCUGCAGCAGCUGACUGUAGUUGUGUAUGAAGCUCAGGACAAGGACUUGACUCAGUGGUUCCUGGAGAAGGUUGGUGGAGACCUGACCUCCUGCAGGCUGGACUGGGAAGUGCUUCUCUCUCUGCUGCAACAUUCAACCCACAACAUCACUGUGGACCUCAGGAAGAACAGGCUUCUAGAGAAGAACAUCUCAGAUCUUCUCCCCUUUCUGGGAAGGGUUACCCUCAAGAGGUCCAGUUCCAGCUUUGUAAAGUCCUCCAUCAGACAGAUCUAUGACAGUAGAGACAGUGACUGUGUGUCCAGUUUGUUGAGGUCUUCAGAACAUUGGAUCAACCUGAACAGCAGAGAGCUGGACAGAGUGGACUGUUCUGCUCUGUGUUUUACCCUGCAGCACAGCCACCAAGUCAAAGUCAACCUGCUGUGGACCUCCAUACCACCGGGGGAGAUAGAGAGCAUCCUGCCUCUUCUGGACAGAGUCUCCCAACUCAGUGUUGACAGGAAGUUACUGCUGAGUUUCCUCCAGUGCUGUGCUGCCUCUCAGAUCCAGCAGGGGGCACCACCACCACCAACAGCAGUAUGGCUGCUCAGGUCUCUGCACUACAGGCUGGACUUCUCCUGCUCCUCCUCUGUGGACCUGUCAGCUCAGGACCAGGAGAAGGCUCUGUGUCUGACCACUGACCACUGCAGGGCCAUCAACUCUGUUCUGAAGCAGAACCAACACAGCACUCAGCUGGUCCAGAACCAGGUCCAGCUCAUCCUAAGAGACUGUGAGGUGGAGGACAGAGCACUGAGGGAGCUGCUUCCCAUCCUGCAUAUUGUCAAGCUGAGCCCCAGCAAAGCUCUGCUACUUCAGCUGCUGGACCUUGUGUGUGAGGGGAUUGAAGAGGGGCUGCUGAGGCACGCAGAGUCCCUGUGCAGAGCCCUGGAUGGGGAACUGGACCUCAGUGAGACCAGGCUGGACCAGAAGGCCUGUGGAUCUCUGGCCCUGGUUCUGGAACACUCAGAGGGUCUGUCAGAACUGGACCUCAGCCACUGUCAACUCACAGACCACCACCUACAGCCCCUGAUCACACACCUGCAUAAAGUACAAGUCCUGGACCUGAGCCACAAUGACAUCACUGAUGCUCUGACUGACAGAAUACUCCAACUGGUCUCUACCAACACUUCAAUGCACACCGUACGACUUUUCAACAACAGAAUCAUGAACAGGACCCCUUUCCUGACAGACAAGAGGUUUGAGAUCUGAUUAAACAUCAGGUCUUGGUCCAGGAAGAGGAAGAGAUGGCUGUUUAGAUCUUAGUCCAAAUCAAAAUAAAAUUCUAUUGGUGUAACGGCUGUCUGAAGAGAGAGUAGACCAAGGUGCAGCGGAGUUAGUGUUCAUCAUGAUUUUAAUUGAACAACGUGAACACUAUACAAAAACAAGAAAAAACCGACAGCCAAACAGUCCUGUCAGGGGCAAAACACUCAACAGAAACAAUUACCCACAAAACCCAAAGGAAAAACAUGCUCCUUAUGUGUGACUCCCAAUCAGCAACAACGAACUUCAGCUGUGCCUGAUUGGGAGCCACACACGGCCCAAAACAAAGAAAUACAAAAACAUAGAAAAGGAACAUAGAAUGCCCACCCAAUGUAACACCCUGGCCUAACCAAAAUAAAGGACAAAAACCCGUCUCUAUGGCCAGGGCGUUACAGUACCCCCCCCCCCCCCCCCCCCCCCAAGGUGCGGACUCCGACUGCAAAACCUGACUCUGAAGGGGAGGGUCCGGGUGGGCCUUCUUACGGCGGCGGCUCAGGUGCGGGACGUGGCCUCUGCUCCACCCUCGACGUCGCCCUCUUAGGUGGCGCACCUGGCCGCGCCGAAGGUCUGGUGGGCGACCCUGACUGCGCCCGGCUGACGGGCGGCGAUGGUUGUGCCCGGCUGGCGGGCGUCCCUGGAAGCUCCGGCGGCACUGACCCAGGAUUCACCAGGCUGAGGAGACAUGUAAGAGACCUUGCCCUAGGCGCAGGCACAGGACUCACCGGGCUGGCGGGCGGCUCUGGAUAGGCCGGCGGCUCUGGCGGCUCCGGACAGGCGGGCGGCUCUGGCGGCUCCGGACAGGCGGGCGGCUCUGGCGGCUCCUGACUGGCAGGCGGCUCUGGCGGCUUCUGACUGGCGGGCGGCUCUGGCGGCUCCUGACUGGCGGGCGGCUCUGGCGGCUCCUGACUGGCGGGCGGCUCCGGACAUGCGGGCGGCUCUGGCGGCUCUGGACUGGCGAGACCCACUGGAGGCCUAGUCCAAGGAGGCGGCACAGGAGAGACCAGGAUGGGGAGACCCACUGGAGGCCUGGUCCGUGGAGCAGGCACAGGACUGACCAGGAUGGGGAGACCCACUGGAGGCCUGGUCCGUGGAAGUGGCACAGGAGAGACCAGGAUGGGGAGACCCACUGGAAGCCUGGUCCAUGGAGGAGGCACAGGCUUAUCCAGGAUGGGGAGACCCACUGGAGGCCUGGUCCGUGGAAGCGGCACAGGAGAGACCAGGAUGGGGAGACCCACUGGAGGCCUGGUCCGUGGAGGCAGCACAAGAUUCACCAUGCUGGGGAGACAUGCAGGAGGCCUGGUUCUGGGCGCAGGCACAGGAUAGACCGGGUCCUGAAGACGCACUGGAGGUCUAGAGCGCACGGCCUGCACAACCCGUCCUGGCUCAAUGCCCAACCUCCCCCGGCAGAUGUUAGGAGCUGGGAUGUAACGCACCGGGCUCUCCACGCGUACUGGGGACACCGUGCGCUUUACUGCAUAACACGGUGCCUGACCAGUACUACGUUGCCUCCUGUAAGCACGGGGAGCUGGCUCAGGUCUCCAACCUGACUCUGCCACACUCCCCGUGUGCCCCCCCCAAAUUUUUUGGGGGGGCUGCUUCUCGGGCUCUACCUGCCUCCCAGGGACGUUGUCACAGUGGUCCCGCAAUUGCUCCCAUGUCCAGUCAAUCCUUGACUCCAACACCUCCAGCGACCAGGAUGCCAUGUCCUCCCGAGCGCGCUGCUUCCAAUAGUCCUCCUUGACUUCCAUCUGCCCUCUUCUCCGCUGCUUGGUCUUUUUGUGGUGGGUAAUUCUGUAACGGCUGUCUGAAGAGAGAGUAGACCAAGGUGCAGCAGAGUUAGUGUUCAUCAUGAUUUUAAUUGAACAACGUGAACACUAUACAAAAACAAGAAAAAACUGACAGCCAAACAGUUCUGUCAGGUGCAAAACACUCAACAGAAACAAUUACCCACAAAACCCAAAGGAAAAACAUGCUCCUUAUGUGUGACUCCCAAUCAGCAACAACGAACUUCAGCUGUGCCUGAUUGGGAGCCACACACGGCCCAAAACAAAGAAAUACAAAAACAUAGAAAAAGGAACAUAGAACACCCACCCAAUGUAACACCCUGGCCUAACCAAAAUAAAGAACAAAAACCCCUCUCUAUGGCCAGGGCGUUACAAUUGAUCACAUACACAUGGUUAGCAGAUGUUAAUGCGAGUGUAGCGAAAUGCUUAUGCUCCUAGAUCUGACAGUGCAGCACUAUCUAACAGGUAAUAUCUAACAAUUCCACCACAAAACCUAAUACACAAAAUCUAGUAAAGGAAUGGGAUGAGAAUAUAUAAAUAUAUAAUAUAUGGAUGAGCAGUGACAGAGCGGCUAAGAUGCAAAAGAUAGUAAAGAAUAGAUAGUGAAGGAUACAGUAUACAGUAUAUACAUAUAAGAUGAGUAAUGCGAGAUAUGUAAACAUUCUUAAAGUGGCAUUAUUAAAGUGGCUAGUGUUCCAUUUAUUAAAGUGGCCAAUGAUAUCAAGUCUGUAGGUAGGCAGCCACCUCUCUGUGCUAGUGGUGGCUGUUUAACAAUCUGAUGGCCUUGAGAUAGAAGCUGUUUUCAAUCUCUCUGUCCCAUCUUUGAUGCAUCUGUAUUGACCUCGCAUUCUGGAUGGAAGCGGGGUGAACAGGCAGGGUGGUUAUUGUCCUUGAUGAUCUUUUGUGUCUUCCUACUCAUAUUUAGAUUUGUAUUAUUCUCAGUUAAAGUAAAAUUCUAGGAGGGAUCCUUAAGGUUACCUCAUUGAUAGAAGUGUGUUAAAGUAGCCGGUAGAGUUUUUAGACGCCAGCUGAGGGACUGAUCAUCCUGAGGGGGGAGAUAAAAAACAGUAUGUAAAGUUGUAGAAGGUAAAAACCUGUUUUUCUAUGUAUUAAUUACUGUGCUUCUCAUAAAGUUGUAAAAUACAACACAUAUUGUAUUGGCAAUAAGGGUAUAGUUAAGGGCGUUGAAGGUGUCUAUCAAUUUAAUUUACUGUUGAUGUUGCUUAUCAUUGAUUGGUGAUAUUGAUUUGUGAUUGACUGAUUGAUCUGGAAUAUUUUAUCCAUGUUUCUGGAAUGUUGAAUAAAGUUGCUUUAUUGUUCUGAAAAGAGUCAUACAAGUUCAUGU
RNAcentral lists this long non-coding RNA (7334 nucleotides) under Salmo trutta (river trout). Its description in RNAcentral is "lncRNA (ENSSTUG00000045276.1)". Lineage: Eukaryota; Metazoa; Chordata; Actinopteri; Salmoniformes; Salmonidae. The record is from RNAcentral.